This 496-nucleotide ribosomal RNA is filed under the name uncultured bacterium. RNAcentral describes it as "partial 16S ribosomal RNA". It matches the Rfam family "Bacterial small subunit ribosomal RNA", at positions 28 to 507 of the family's 1533-position model. The record is from RNAcentral.
GAUGAACGCUGGCGGCGUGCCUAAUACAUGCAAGUCGAGCGAACGGACGAGAAGCUUGCUUCUCUGAUGUUAGCGGCGGACGGGUGAGUAACACGUGGAUAACCUACCUAUAAGACUGGGAUAACUUCGGGAAACGGAGCUAAUACCGGAUAAUAUUUUGAACCGCAUGGUUCAAAAGUGAAAGACGGUCUUGCUGUCACUUAUAGAUGGAUCCGCGCUGCAUUAGCUAGUUGGUAAGGUAACGGCUUACCAAGGCAACGAUGCAUAGCCGACCUGAGAGGGUGAUCGGCCACACUGGAACUGAGACACGGUCCAGACUCCUACGGGAGGCAGCAGUAGGGAAUCUUCCGCAAUGGGCGAAAGCCUGACGGAGCAACGCCGCAUGAGUGAUGAAGGUCUUCGGAUCGUAAAACUCUGUUAUUAGGGAAGAACAUAUGUGUAAGUAACUGUGCACAUCUUGACGGUACCUAAUCAGAAAGCCACGGCUAACUACGUG